RNAcentral lists this ribosomal RNA (497 nucleotides) under uncultured bacterium. RNAcentral describes it as "partial 16S ribosomal RNA". It matches the Rfam family "Bacterial small subunit ribosomal RNA", at positions 28 to 507 of the family's 1533-position model. The record is from RNAcentral.
GAUGAACGCUGGCGGCGUGCCUAAUACAUGCAAGUCGAGCGAACAGAUGAGGAGCUUGCUCCUCUGACGUUAGCGGCGGACGGGUGAGUAACACGUGGAUAACCUACCUAUAAGACUGGGAUAACUUCGGGAAACCGGAGCUAAUACCGGAUAAUAUAUUGAACCGCAUGGUUCAAUAGUGAAAGACGGUUUUGCUGUCACUUAUAGAUGGAUCCGCGCCGCAUUAGCUAGUUGGUAAGGUAACGGCUUACCAAGGCAACGAUGCGUAGCCGACCUGAGAGGGUGAUCGGCCACACUGGAACUGAGACACGGUCCAGACUCCUACGGGAGGCAGCAGUAGGGAAUCUUCCGCAAUGGGCGAAAGCCUGGCGGAGCAACGCCGCGUGAGUGAUGAAGGUCUUCGGAUCGUAAAACUCUGUUAUUAGGGAAGAACAAAUGUGUAAGUAACUAUGCACGUCUUGACGGUACCUAAUCAGAAAGCCACGGCUAACUACGUG